UACGUAGGGUGCGAGCGUUGUCCGGAAUUAUUGGGCGUAAAGGGCUCGUAGGCGGUUUGUCGCGUCGGGAGUGAAAUCAUCUGGCUUAACUGGGUGCUUGCUUUCGAUACGGGCAGACUAGAGGUAUGCAGGGGAGAACGGAAUUCCUGGUGUAGCGGUGAAAUGCGCAGAUAUCAGGAGGAACACCGGUGGCGAAGGCGGGUCUCUGGGCCGUAACUGACGCUGAGGAGCGAAAGCGUGGGGAGCGAACAGG
This 253-nucleotide ribosomal RNA is filed under the name uncultured bacterium. RNAcentral describes it as "partial 16S ribosomal RNA". It matches the Rfam family "Bacterial small subunit ribosomal RNA", at positions 524 to 776 of the family's 1533-position model. The record is from RNAcentral.